GACGGUAGCUCAGUGCUAGAGCACCUGCCUUGCAUGUAUGAGGUACUGCGUUCGAUCCUUAGCACCCCA
This 69-nucleotide transfer RNA is filed under the name Marmota monax (woodchuck). RNAcentral's name for it is "tRNA.Ala". Lineage: Eukaryota; Metazoa; Chordata; Mammalia; Rodentia; Sciuridae. The record is from RNAcentral.